This 432-nucleotide ribosomal RNA is filed under the name uncultured bacterium. Its description in RNAcentral is "partial 16S ribosomal RNA". It matches the Rfam family "Bacterial small subunit ribosomal RNA", at positions 29 to 506 of the family's 1533-position model. The record is from RNAcentral.
AACGAACGCUGGCGGCAUGCCUAACACAUGCAAGUCGAACGAGACCUUCGGGUCUAGUGGCGCACGGGUGCGUAACGCGUGGGAACUUGCCCUUAGGUUCGGAAUAACUCCCCGAAAGGGGUGCUAAUACCGGAUAAUGUCUUCGGACCAAAGAUUUAUCGCCUUUGGAUGGGCCCGCGUUGGAUUAGCUAGUUGGUAGGGUAAAAGCCUACCAAGGCGACGAUCCAUAGCUGGUCUGAGAGGAUGUUCAGCCACACUGGGACUGAGACACGGCCCAGACUCCUACGGGAGGCAGCAGUGGGGAAUAUUGGACAAUGGGCGAAAGCCUGAUCCAGCAAUGCCGCGUGAGUGAUGAAGGCCUUAGGGUUGUAAAGCUCUUUUACCCGGGAUGAUAAUGACAGUACCGGGAGAAUAAGCUCCGGCUAACUCCGU